Molecule: ribosomal RNA, 481 nt
Filed under: uncultured bacterium
Lineage: Bacteria
Description: partial 16S ribosomal RNA
Rfam family: Bacterial small subunit ribosomal RNA
Source: RNAcentral
GAUGAACGCUGGCGGCGUGCUUAACACAUGCAAGUCGAACGAAGCACUUUAUUUGAUUUCCUUCGGGACUGAUUAUUUUGUGACUGAGUGGCGGACGGGUGAGUAACGCGUGGGUAACCUGCCUUGUACAGGGGGAUAACAUAUGGAAACGGCUGCUAAUACCGCAUAAGCGCACGGCAUCGCAUGAUGCAGUGUGGAAAACUCCGGUGGGAUAAGAUGGACCCGCGUUGGAUUAGCAAGUUGGGGAGGUAACGGGCCACCAAGGCGACGACGCAUAGCCGAGCAGUGAGGCAGACCGCAGACACCGGGGAUGAGCCGCGGUAGAGACUCCUACGCGAGGCAGCAGAGCGGGAUAGUGCAACAUGGCCGAAGUGCUGAUGGAGCGCCGCCGCGAGAGCGAUGUUAUAUUUCGGUAUGUAAAGCGUUAUUAGCAGGGCAGAUAAUGACGGUACCUGAUCAAGAAGCACCGGCUAACUACGUG